UACCUGCAUGUGCAUUCCAAAAUGUAUGCAGAUAUAAAGAGGCUUACUUACAUCUGGAAUGCAAGACAGAAAGUCCUAGUCACUUCCCUAAAAUGAGUCGUACUGUACAUAUAUUUACAAAAUAUUUAUUAAUUCGAAAAUAUUUAUUAAAUGUUGUAUUCUAUACUCACAGGUAUAAUUUGCUGGUUAUAAGCAGAUCUAUGCACGGCACUCCAUUAUACCACACUGAUAGCUUCUCAAAGAUUAUAAAUUUGAUACAUGUAAGCAGGUAAGAAAAAAAAUCUAAGAGAGAAAUAUUUUUUGCAGAGCCUGUGGUAUACAUUGUUUGUUAUUACGUGUAUAACAAUCAAUAACAAUUUUGUUAUUACGUGUAUAACAAUUUUGUUAUUACAUGUAUACAUGUAGCAAAACCUUAACCAUUCAGCUUAUAUUUGCUUAUCUUGCAUUUCUUUAAUGUAAAUACAUGUAUAUAAUCUUCGUUAAUUUAUAGAAUACAUGUUUUUAAUUUAAAUAAAGUGACAAAGAGAUAAUGAACUAAAUGUUAUUGAACCUACAGUACCUGACAUUUUUUAGUUUCUCUGUAUAGGCACAGUUACUUGUCAUCACAAGGAUCAGAUUUCAAGUACCAGAGUAGUCCUAACUCCCAAAUUUUCCCAAUUUGUCAAAAGUACAUCUAGUGACACAAGAGAAGAAUGUUGAGUAAAUGCCAAUAAAGGCUCGACUGCAGGGGUAUACCUGACUUCUCGGCAAUUUCUGGUUAUCACCAUCCGAAUGACCGAUUCAGAGGAGAAGACCAACUUCAAGGUGACUCUUAUGCAUUGAGAUCUUUCGCUGAUGGACUCAAAUUGUUCAGGAAAAAAUCCAGCUACCACUGUGCCACAGCCACAGAUUUCUGGCGUGUGUUCAGAAGGAACAUAGAUGCAAUGAUGAAACAAUCUCCAGACAGAUGGGUGGCCCUUGAGCAGAGAAUGUUAAAAAGAAUUGAAGCAUUCAAUAAAGAAGAUUAAGAAACAGAAUGUGUCCAGUUGUUU
Long non-coding RNA from Saccostrea cuccullata (small rock oyster), 1031 nucleotides. RefSeq lists it as uncharacterized. The transcript has 4 exons. The record is from RefSeq and is a predicted model, not a curated record. Lineage: Eukaryota; Metazoa; Mollusca; Bivalvia; Ostreida; Ostreidae.